This 229-nucleotide non-coding RNA is filed under the name Sphingomonas sp. Lineage: Bacteria; Pseudomonadati; Pseudomonadota; Alphaproteobacteria; Sphingomonadales; Sphingomonadaceae. The record is from RNAcentral.
GAGAUGCGGCGGCGUCAAGGUUCUCCGGUCGCGGAAGCGCGCCGGAGCUAAGACGGGAAGCCGGUGCGGACCCCCUUUCAGGAUCAGGGUCCCAGGCCGGCGCUGCCCCCGCAACUGUAAGCGGCGAGCGGCGGUCCAUCAUGUGUCACUGGCGGUGCGAACCGCCGGGAAGGCCGGACCGACGCGACGACCCGCGAGCCAGGAGACCUGCCUUCGACGCCAUAACGUC